Molecule: long non-coding RNA, 223 nt
Filed under: Elaeis guineensis (African oil palm)
Lineage: Eukaryota; Viridiplantae; Streptophyta; Magnoliopsida; Arecales; Arecaceae
Description: long non-coding RNA (EGUI_LNC019772)
Source: RNAcentral
GUGGUACAUGGAAUGGUGGAAUGUUAUGUUGCUAAGCUAGUAUUUUAUUAGCCGAAGAAACAUUCCUUGUGCCCUAAGUGAUAUAAUACACAUACACAAAAAAGAUUUGCCUGGAUGCCCAUAGCAUGGGGAUGACAACGGAUUAGGUAGGUCAUUACUCAUACCUACCUUGUACUUGCAUCAAAAUGGAUAGAGUCUUAGGGUAGGGUGGGGUAGGUUGGAG